Xenopus tropicalis (tropical clawed frog) is the source of this 83-nucleotide small nucleolar RNA. Lineage: Eukaryota; Metazoa; Chordata; Amphibia; Anura; Pipidae. The record is from Ensembl.
UGCCAAGGAUGUUCCCUAAAUUCUGACACCUCAUAUGAAACUGUAAACACAGCAUUGUGAUUUUGUUCUUUGGGCUGAGGCUU